UCCGCAGGACAAGAAAGCUGGUGCUAGUGUCUCUGUUCUAAAUGUGUCGAACAUGAUCUUCAUGGUCUUCUUGUUUUGUUUCCUUCACCUGCCAGGAAACACCGCAGGAGCCUCUGACAGCAAACGUGUCGACCAAACACCUCCGUUCAUCACAAAGAGAACUGGUCAAUCUGUUGACAGUGAGAUCAACUGUGCACACAGCAUAACAAAUUAUGAGCUGAUUCUCUGGUACAAACAAGACGAACACAAGUUAAAGUUCCUGGGAUAUCUAAAUCUGGAUAACCCAUACCCUGAGGACGACGUGAAGGGGAAAAUCAGCUUUAAAGGAGACGGCCGCAAACACUCAAACCUCACCAUUUCUAAUGUUUCACUGAAUGACAGUGGUUUGUAUUUCUGUGCUGCCAGUUACCACAGUGCUGCAGAUUCUCCUCAAGUCAAUACAAAAACCUUCAAGUCAAUACCCAACCCCAGACACACAAGACUUUCAGGCCCCUGAACACCUGCAGCCAGCCUCCAUCUAAACCAGGCCUUUGA
Molecule: non-coding RNA, 534 nt
Organism: Seriola aureovittata
Lineage: Eukaryota; Metazoa; Chordata; Actinopteri; Carangiformes; Carangidae
Source: the annotation of a RefSeq genome assembly